This 327-nucleotide long non-coding RNA is filed under the name Anser cygnoides (Swan goose). RNAcentral's name for it is "lncRNA (ENSACDG00005002026.1)". The record is from RNAcentral. Lineage: Eukaryota; Metazoa; Chordata; Aves; Anseriformes; Anatidae.
AUGGCUGUGGACCCAAGUACAGGAGACAACACGGGCCAGCAGAAGUCGGUGGCAGAGCUGGAGGACAAGAAAGGAAAGGAAAUUGAAUUCUGUCGGAUAGCAGCAUUCUUUCGUCUUGCCUUCCAACCUCUAACCAGCCUUGAAAAUGCAUGGGAUGAAGGAUGCGAUGGAAAAACAUUCAUCACCGUGUUGACCACUGAUCAAAAGCACUUAGCUAGGAAGUGCAGGAUCUGCCAUCAUCUUUUAUUUUCUAUAGUCACAAAGCAGAGUAGCUGAUCUGACAUCUGUAAAAAAAUACUAAUAAUAAAAAAGUGAAAACCUCAAUCA